This 70-nucleotide small nucleolar RNA is filed under the name Sus scrofa (pig). Its description in RNAcentral is "Small nucleolar RNA SNORD56 (ENSSSCG00070007069.1)". It matches the Rfam family "Small nucleolar RNA SNORD56". From Rfam's summary of the family: U56 belongs to the C/D class of snoRNA which contain the C (UGAUGA) and D (CUGA) box motifs. The record is from RNAcentral. Lineage: Eukaryota; Metazoa; Chordata; Mammalia; Artiodactyla; Suidae.
CUACAAUGAUGGCAAUAUUUUUCGACAACGCAACUCACCUAGAGAGUGUUGGUGCUUCGGGUCUGAGUGA